Molecule: small nucleolar RNA, 66 nt
Organism: Boleophthalmus pectinirostris (great blue-spotted mudskipper)
Lineage: Eukaryota; Metazoa; Chordata; Actinopteri; Gobiiformes; Gobiidae
Product: small nucleolar RNA SNORD52
Exons: 1
Source: RefSeq, a predicted model, not a curated record
UGGGAUGAUGAUUUCUUAGACUAGAGUCUCUGAUCAACAUGAAGUCUUUUCACAGUGCACUGACCA